UCCAGACUCCUACGGGAGGCAGCAGUGGGGAAUAUUGCACAAUGGGGGAAACCCUGAUGCAGCGACGCCGCGUGAGUGAAGAAGUAUUUCGGUAUGUAAAGCUCUUUCAGCAGGAAAGAAAAUGACGGUACCUGACUAAGAAGCCCCGGCUAACUACGUGCCAGCAGCCGCGGUAAUACGUAUGGAGCAAGCGUUAUCCGGAUUUACUGGGUGUAAAGGGAGCGCAGGCGGCCUUGCAAGUCUGAUGUGAAAGGCCGGGGCCCAACCGCGGGACUGCAUUGGAAACUGCGAGGCUGGAGUGUCGGAGAGGCAGGCGGAAUUCCUAGUGUAGCGGUGAAAUGCGUAGAGAUCAGGAGGAACACCGGUGGCGAAGGCGGCCCGCUGGACUGCGACUGACGUUGAGGCCCGAAAGCGUGGGGAGCAAACAGGAUUAGAUACCCCUGUAC
Molecule: ribosomal RNA, 446 nt
Filed under: uncultured bacterium
Lineage: Bacteria
Description: partial 16S ribosomal RNA
Rfam family: Bacterial small subunit ribosomal RNA
Source: RNAcentral